RNAcentral lists this ribosomal RNA (598 nucleotides) under Naganishia vaughanmartiniae. RNAcentral's name for it is "eukaryotic LSU rRNA". It matches the Rfam family "Eukaryotic large subunit ribosomal RNA", at positions 79 to 667 of the family's 3401-position model. Lineage: Eukaryota; Fungi; Basidiomycota; Tremellomycetes; Filobasidiales; Filobasidiaceae. The record is from RNAcentral.
CUAAGUAACGGCGAGUGAAGCGGGAAGAGCUCAAAUUUGAAAUCUGGUAGCCUUCGGUUGCCCGAGUUGUAAUCUAGAGAAGUGUUUUCCGCGUUGGCCCAUGUACAAGUCCCUUGGAACAGGGCGUCAUAGAGGGUGAGAAUCCCGUCCUUGACAUGGACCCCCAAUGCUUUGUGAUACACUUUCAACGAGUCGAGUUGUUUGGGAAUGCAGCUCAAAAUGGGUGGUGAAUUCCAUCUAAAGCUAAAUAUUGGCGAGAGACCGAUAGCGAACAAGUACCGUGAGGGAAAGAUGAAAAGCACUUUGGAAAGAGAGUUAAACAGUACGUGAAAUUGUUGAAAGGGAAACGAUUGAAGUCAGUCAUGCUCUUUGGAUUAAGCCGUUCUGCGGUGUAUUUCAUUGAGCGGGGUCAACAUCAGUUUUGAUCGCUGGAAAAGGGCAGGAGGAAGGUAGCACUCUCGGGUGAACUUAUAGCCUCUUGUCGUAUACAGUGAUUGGGACUGAGGAACGCAGCAUGCCUUUUGGCCGGGAUUCGUCCACGUACAUGCUUAGGAUGUUGACAUAAUGGCUUUAAACGACCCGUCUUGAAACACGGACC